CUGUGCUUGUUUGUUUUAUUACAAUCAUUCGUAAGAAAUUUUAGAAUAUAAAUUCCAUAUUGACUUUACUUAAUAUUUCGUGCUUGCACCAUCUACCGAAUCGAAGAGACAACUUACCUGUGGUCACUUAUGUAUUUAUAGACCUAUAUAAUAAUAGUAUAAGAAUAUGAACUAUAAUAUCCAAGAAUAUCUAUUGCAAUCUCGGUAUAUAUUUAGUUGACUUCAUUGUUCAUUUCCAUCAAAUAUUGGUUAUGAAACCUUUGAUUAACGAUAAGAAACAACGACGGAAAGUGCUGCUUACAGAAUAAUUUACAUCUUCUAGCUUACUAUUUAUGAAUUUAGAAUUAAAUGAGAAGGUGAUUGGCAACACCGAUGAAACUUCCGCUAUUGAAGAUCGUAAUACCAAAAAUUAUUUGGGUUGAUUCCACCCGGGCCCGGACUUCUCGAAAAGGCCUGUAUUUCACAAAAAAUUAAGUGAAUAGUUAAAAAUUAGAAGGCUUUCGAUAGGUGAUUAAUUCGAACAUUUAUUUAAACGUUGUGAUUACCGAUAAAGGAACGUUUUCUCGCAAAAAAAAACGGUGAAGCUAUUGCCUUUGGAAGAUUGCCCUGGACAGUGCAACGAUAAUGGUAGUAUGAGCGGUAAAUAUGAAGGAGCGCAAAAUCAUAUCCAUAAUAAGUAUGCAGUUAUUUCGCCUUGUGGUGCCCACACCCUGAAUUGGCUGGAGUGUUGUCCUCGAGCAAUAACUUCUUUUGGUGUCGUUCAAAAAUGUUUCCAUAUUUUCAGUACCAGCACACCAAGUUGAGAAAUUAUCAAAUCACAAAUACCCAAUUCACUUCACUGUCUUUCUAAUACAAGGUGGUCUGCCAAAUUCGAUGCCGUCAUGCGAUUUGCGAAAAGUCUUCCCGGAUUAAUAAACGUUUUGAAAGAAGUUAAAAAACUCAACCUUACGGCAGAAACUCGUUGGGACGUUGAUGGAAUUUCGAAUGUAUGAGCAAAUUAAGGUUUGAAAUAUAGAAAGCCUUCUUGUGGAUUUGCUAUUUCUGCGCCAACAGUGAUAUGAAAGGAAACAAAUUUAACGCAGCUGCAAAAAAAUUUUACAAAAAAGUAUUCCAUUGAUUAGAUACAUCAUAAGUUGUCCAAUGAAGCUAUUCACUCAGACACGUUUACGUCUUACUCCAUACAACAUUCAAAAAUUACGGUUGUUUAGUGCUUUAGCAAGGAUAAAAGUUUUCAUCGAUCGUGCUCGUCACAGAGCAGGAUUUCAGGACUAUCUACACAGUGUCUAGAGGAAAAUUAGCUCAGAAGUUGGAUUUCCAGAUUAUUUAUCGACGCAUUCGCUGCCGCCAAAGCUUGAAAAGCUCACUUCUAAGUUACAAAUAAUUGAAAAUUUGAGGACUUUACCAUAAACUGCUUCUCCAUAAACUUAAUCAUAAUAAUCAACAGAUUUCUUCAUUAAUUCGAUCGAUAAAUAAAUGUUUGAAUGACAUGUUUCUGGCUUACUAACUGUCAAGUCUUAUGCACCAUACAUAUAUUCCGGUAUAAUCUGAAAAAAUAUUUUUGACUGAAUGUCUAAAUAUGAACUGAUUUAUACAUUAUUGAUUUUCAAAAUCGUACAAAACCAAUUUGUUCCACCAAGCAUCAACAAGAAAGCACGUUCCGGUUACUUAGACCCGACUGUCGUCGGAACGGCCCACUUUUUCUCUCAGCGGCCCUGCCACACUGAGAUGUAUUGCAAUGUUUCCGAAGGAUAUCUUCAGUAAUUUAUAAUAUAAGUAAAUUAAAACAAAAAGAAACGAUAACUUCGGGUGCACCAAAUCUAUUAUACCCUUUACAAAUACAAAAGAUCCCAUUCCAAACUUUAUUUUGAUCAAUCAGCUCGAUCGAUCGAUUGUAAGGCAGCUAUAUGCUAUAGUACCGUGAUCUGAAUUCUUCGAAGAUCGCACUGUUGCCUUGGACAAUAAUCCAUGCUAAAUUCGUCUUGUCAAAUACGAAAGUUUUCCACACAAGCACUUGAUUCCAAUCGUUCAGUUUGCGUGGCAGCUAUAUGCUAUAGCGGUCCGAUAUAGGCGUUACCGACAAAUGAGCAACUUCUUGGGAAUAAAAUGCGUGUUACAAACUUCGCGGCAAACCUAAUAUACCCUGUUCAAAGUACAAUAUAAAAACAGAAAAUACCGUAAUUAGAAUUUCGAUUAAUUUAUUCAUUGAAAUGCCUUGUAUAUAUGUAUUUUUCACAUGCAUAAGUAGAUAUUUAUUUAUUUUUGUUUUUUAUUUAAUACACAUAUAUAUUUUUAUACGCAACUAGUUGUAAUUGCAUUAAAAUUUUACGUUCACAUUCCAGUUGUAGAAAAAAAGUCAACAAUUCGCCUAACGUUUUACCAACUUUCAACAAAAUAAUAAUAUGCGAAAAUUAUUAAGAUAAAUAUUACACUUCCAAUAAUA
Molecule: long non-coding RNA, 2440 nt
Organism: Bactrocera oleae (olive fruit fly)
Lineage: Eukaryota; Metazoa; Arthropoda; Insecta; Diptera; Tephritidae
Source: RefSeq, a predicted model, not a curated record